Molecule: ribosomal RNA, 369 nt
Filed under: Armigeres subalbatus
Lineage: Eukaryota; Metazoa; Arthropoda; Insecta; Diptera; Culicidae
Description: eukaryotic LSU rRNA
Source: RNAcentral
CCCGUUGAACUCGAUUAUCCGAGCGGAGACAUUCACCUGCGGGGCUGGCCUUCCCAUCCAAAAAAGCGAGGGCCGGCGCCGCAGGGCACUUGUCUCUCCCGCGCACGAGGACACUGCGAUCCAUUACGAAACAGCUUUCGCGUUCCACUGGGACGCGCAGGUCGCCCGACAGUUGCCCCCUGGUGCUUCCCCCGGUUGCUUGCCCCACAGUAGCGACGCUCAGUUCCGAAGGCCUGUGCCGCGAGGUGGGGCUUACUGCACGUGGUGUGCAGUCGGGCGCGUGAUGGAUUCCCACGAGUACGACGCGGUGCCUUUACACCGGCACCGCGGACCGUCGAUCGGCAGUGAAAGAAUCGAGGUACCUCCGGG